This is a long non-coding RNA of Cucumis melo (muskmelon), 1768 nucleotides long. RefSeq lists it as uncharacterized. NCBI's taxonomy places the organism in Eukaryota, Viridiplantae, Streptophyta, Magnoliopsida, Cucurbitales, Cucurbitaceae. The transcript has 2 exons. The record is from RefSeq and is a predicted model, not a curated record.
GAAGUUCCUGCACAGCCAUGAUUUGAAUCGAUUACGUAUGAAUAUGAUCACUCUGCGAUGGAAAAUGGAUUGAAUAUAGUGUUACCUGAUCUGCAUUUGCGUUAUUGAAGGCGAUUAUGUCAGCUAAACUUCGAACAGGGGAAACCACGAGCUCUUUCAGGUGGGGAUGUUGGUUGUCUUACUUUAGAGUGUUGAAAUGAUCGUCAAAAGCUUGUGUGAUGGUUGAAUCAUUGAAGAAGCUGAAAAAGGGGUUCCUCACAAUUCCUAAUCUCUUCCCUUUUAACCCAUUUGGAUUGAGGAAUUGUUUGUAGCCACCAUAUGGAAUGUACUUAGAGGCUGUUCUAGUGGCUGCAUCAUUAUAAUCAAAUCCUACAAUGGUGUCAAGAACUAUCACAGCAUCUGUCACUGUCCUGCCAAUUGGUCUGCUUUCACAUGUGAAGGUUACAAAGUUUUAGUUCUUAUAAUCUUUGUAGAAUGUUUUGCUGAUAUGGGUGCAAGAUUGCUCACCCAAUAGUGUCUUGUCUUGGGGAGACUGGAAUGACACCUGCUCUACUAGUGAGGCCGACCGUCGGUUUGAUGCCAACAACUGAGUUGAAACUAGCUGGACAGAGGAUAGAACCGUCGGUCUCGGUUCCUAUUGAGACUGCUGCUAUGUUUGCUGCAACUGAUAUGGAAGGUCCACUGCUGGAUCCACAGGGUGAUGCCGAUAAAACAUAUGGAUUCUGAAAAGAAUUGUAGAAAUUAAAUGGUUUUUAGUUGUACAUGAAAAACAUUGAACGUGUGGAUAAAUUGUCUUUGGAGCCAAUUCGAAGUAACACACCUUUCCUUGACCACCUCUAGCGCUCAAACCAGCUGGAGCAGUGAGGGACCUAAAAUCAGCCCAUUCACUCAAGCUGGCCUUUCCUAGUAUGAUAGCUCCAGCCUUCCUUAGUCUCUUCACUAUACCUGCAUCACGAGGCACGAUAGACCCGAGCAAUGCGAAUGAUCCAGCAGUAGUAUUCAACUUAUCCUUAGUCCCAAUGGUAUCCUUGAGUAGAAUUGGAAUUCCGUGCAACCCACAAAGUGAUCCAGGCUUAUUAGCCUCUCGUUCUCUGUCAGCCUUGUAAGCUUGCAUCAAUGCAUCUGGGUUGAUUUCUAUGACCCCAUGGACAACCGGAUUGAGUCUGCGAAUUUCUCCAAUGUAGAAGUUGACAAGUUCCCUCGAAGUGAGUUGGUUUUGCUUGAAAGCUAGCUGGAGGUCGUGCACUGUGGCUUCUCUAAUUGACAAUCCUCGAACCGUUACGCAAUAUGGUGUAGUCAAACAGAAGGCCACAAGAAUCAGAAGCAUUGAGAAGGCUACAGAACUAAGUGGUGAAGAGUUGGCCAUGGAAGCGGGAAGUAGUAGCUUCAGUGGAAGUUCUAAAUUUUAGGCCAUGGAUUCAUCAUAAUAUAUAGGUAAGUUUCAAUGGAAAGGUUUGAUUUGGUCACUGUUUUCUUGUACAUGUUCUAAGCUUCUGACCAGGUUUUGGUUUAUGGCCAUUGAAAGAUUACAAAAGGAAGGGUAUGGAGAUGAGAACAUUAAAAAUAUGAAGAUUUGAUGAAGUCCAAAGCAAGAGGAGGAGGGUAUUGCCGUCCAUGUCCGGUGGAUUUGAUUGUUUGUAGCUUUAAUUCUUAUAUGUUAUGUUUGUUUUGUUCAUGGGAUCUAAAGACAAUGUUUGGUUGACUAAUGAGCUCGAAGAAAAUUUUAAAUGGUUUUCAAGGAAUAUGCAAUUUAAAGUUUUCAAUUCAA